AGGUGUCGGGGGUUACCCCCUUCGGUGCCGCAGCUAACGCAUUAAGUACUCCGCCUGGGAAGUACGCUCGCAAGAGUGAAACUCAAAGGAAUGGACGGGGACCCGCACAAGUAGCGGAGCAUGUGGUUUAAUUCGAAGCAACGCGAAGAACCUUACCUAAGCGUGACAUCCCAAUGACAUCUCCUUAAUCGGAGAGUUCCUUUCGGGGACAUUGGUGACAGGUGGUGCAUGGUUGUCGUCAGCUCGUGUCGUGAGAUGUUGGGUUAAGUCCCGCAACGAGCGCAACCCUUGUCUUUAGUUGCCAUCAUUAAGUUGGGCACUCUAGAGAGACUGCCAGGGAUAACCUGGAGGAAGGUGGGGAUGACGUCAAAUCAUCAUGCC
This 381-nucleotide ribosomal RNA is filed under the name Clostridioides difficile. RNAcentral describes it as "bacterial SSU rRNA". It matches the Rfam family "Bacterial small subunit ribosomal RNA", at positions 818 to 1199 of the family's 1533-position model. The record is from RNAcentral. Lineage: Bacteria; Bacillati; Bacillota; Clostridia; Peptostreptococcales; Peptostreptococcaceae.